GACGAACGCUGGCGGCGUGCUUAACACAUGCAAGUCGAACGGAGCACCCUUGACUGAGGUUUCGGCCAAAUGAUAGGAAUGCUUAGUGGCGGACUGGUGAGUAACGCGUGAGGAACCUGCCUUUCAGAGGGGGACAACAGUUGGAAACGACUGCUAAUACCGCAUGACGCAUUUUGAUCGCAUGGUCGAAAUGCCAAAGAUUUAUCGCUGAAAGAUGGCCUCGCGUCUGAUUAGCUAGUUGGUGAGGUAACGGCCCACCAAGGCGACGAUCAGUAGCCGGACUGAGAGGUUGACCGGCCACAUUGGGACUGAGAUACGGCCCAGACUCCUACGGGAGGCAGCAGUGGGGAAUAUUGGGCAAUGGGCGCAAGCCUGACCCAGCAACGCCGCGUGAAGGAAGAAGGCUUUCGGGUUGUAAACUUCUUUUAAGUGGGAAGAGCAGAAGACGGUACCACUUGAAUAAGCCACGGCUAACUACGUGCCAGCCGCCGCCGUAA
Molecule: ribosomal RNA, 497 nt
Filed under: uncultured bacterium
Lineage: Bacteria
Description: partial 16S ribosomal RNA
Rfam family: Bacterial small subunit ribosomal RNA
Source: RNAcentral